AGAAGCUUAGGGUUAGGGCUAGGGCUGGGCUCAGUGGUAGAGCGCUUGCCUAGCACAUGUGAUGCACUGGGUUCAAUUCUCAGCACCACACUAAAAAAAUUAGGAAAUAAAAUAAAAGUAUUGUGGCACUUGACCACUGAGCCACAUCCCCAGCCCUAUUUUGUACUGUAUUUAGAGACGUCUCACUGAGUUGUUCAGCGCCUGGCUUUUGCUGAGGCUGGCUUGGAACUUGAGAUCCUCCUGCCUCAGCCUCCCGAGCUGCUGGGAUCACAGGUGUGCGCCACGGGCUUAAACGAUUUUUUAAAAGGAAAACUAAGCAUUUUGAAGGUCAGGGGUGGAGAUUCGGUGACCUGUUUUCUUCGGCCUGAGCUCCUCAUAGUUCUGCCUCGACUGUUGCCCCCGGAGCUGCGGCCGGCCAGCGCCUUGCAGGGCCAGCACUCGCCCAUCUUGGCGUCUCCGGUUCUGACCGCCCUGUGCGCUGUGAGCAGGUCCCUGAGGUCUCUGAGCCAGCAAAGGAGGCUGCGUCGGGCCCUGUGCAGUGCGAAGGCGUGGGGCAGACACACCUGGGCUCAGAGCCGCACCCUGCAGGUGCCGGGGGUUCUCAUCCUAAAUCCAGCCCGGAUUAAAGACCCCGUCCGUCCCCGGCGGAGCUGGCCAGCUUCUCCCGCAGCCUGCAGCACAGCCUCAGCGGCCCGCCGGGCGCUGCUGAUCUCCCGCUCUAGCUCAGAGGACCAGAGAGGAAACAGGUCCUAACAAAGGUAAGGCCCACACCUGCUGGUGGACCUAGGCCGUGCAGCUGCUGAGGGGAGCAGUUCAGGGGCUCCCCAGAAGCUGGCUGCCAAGUCACCGACGGCCCAGCAGCUCCACCCCAAGCUGCCGGGAGAGAACUGGGGACAGGGAGGCCCACCUGGCCGGACACGCGCAGCUGCUCUGUCCCCCGCAGCCCUGUGGAAGCAGGCUGGGUGCCACCCAGUGGUAGGGUACCUGGUCCCCAGGAAGCCCGAGGCUCCGUCCCCAGCACCGUCCCAGACUCCAGGGAUGGAGGAGCCGGUGGACAGGCGGCCCCCUGUACGGUGGACGUUAUUCAGCUGGAGACAGAGACGAAACCCUGGCACCUGCUGCAGCACAGGUGGCCUCCCAAGGUCUGGUUAGCACGAGACGGCCUUGGUCACGACUGUUCCUGUGGCACCUACAGAGCAGGUCCCAGGAGACAGGCUAGAUUCUGGCUGCAGGAGCCGGGAGGAGGACUGGGUGACUCCUUCCUGGGUGCCGGGUCUCCUUUUGGGGGAGAUGCCGUAUUUUGAAACGGAAUAGAUCUGGCAGUCAAAACGCUGUCCAUGGACUAAGGGAGGCCGUGUGGUGCACUGUAAAGCGGUGAAUUUUGUUUUGUGAGUCUCGCCUCAGUUUUUGUUGCGCUUGGGAGUGAAACCAGGGGAGCUCUACCACUGGACCGCACCCCAACACUUUUUAUGUAUUUUGAAACAGGGCCUCGCUAAGUUGCUGAGAUUGGCCUCAAACUUGUGAUCCUCCUGCCUUAGCCUCCAGGGUACUGGAAUGAUAGGUUUUUACCUCCACGCUUGGGCUGAGUACAUAUAUUUUUUAAAAAUUAUGCCAGCGUAUGUGUAACAAGCUACAGUAGUGUAAGCAUAGGGAUGGGGUUGGGGCUCAGUGGCUGAUCUUGAUUUAUUUUAUGUGGUGCUGAGGAUCCAACCCAGUGCCUCACACAUGCUAGGUUGGAUCCUCAGCUGCCGCAGUCUAGCUGCAGCAAAGUAACGGGGGGGGGGGGGGGUGACGAGCAGAGCAACUUGUGUAGAUUGAUACAGCAGGAGUGGGAGCCCUUUAUUGUAGGACAGGAGGGGUAUAUAUACAUUCCACACAGCUUAUCUUAAUUAACAUAAACUAGAUACAGCAUUCAACCAAUAAGGAAUCUCCACACUUAAUGGCUCGCUGGUGUUACUUCACAAACCAUUCCCCCUGGCAAAAUGCCAGGCGCCAUCCUGACUUGGCAUUGUCUGUUUACAGACCCUAUCACUCAGCACCACAUAAAAAUAAAAUAAAAGGUAUUGUGUGCACCUACAACUAAAAAAAUAAAUGUUAACAAAAAUAGUGGGAUGGGGCUGUAGCUCAGCAGUAGCACACUUGCCUGGCUUGUGGGAGGCACUGGGUUCGAUUCUCA
Molecule: long non-coding RNA, 2176 nt
Filed under: Marmota monax (woodchuck)
Lineage: Eukaryota; Metazoa; Chordata; Mammalia; Rodentia; Sciuridae
Source: RNAcentral